UACGUAGGGUGCGAGCGUUAAUCGGAAUUACUGGGCGUAAAGCGUGCGUAGGCGGUUCGUUAAGUCAGCUGUGAAAGCCCCGGGCUCAACCUGGGAAUUGCAUUCGAGACUGCGUAGCUAGGGUGCGGAAGAGGGAAGCGGAAUUUCCGGUGUAGCGGUGAAAUGCGUAGAUAUCGGAAGGAACACCAGUGGCGAAAGCGGCUUCCUGGUCCAGCACCGACGUUCAGGCACGAAAGCGUGGGGAGCAAACAGG
Molecule: ribosomal RNA, 253 nt
Filed under: uncultured bacterium
Lineage: Bacteria
Description: partial 16S ribosomal RNA
Rfam family: Bacterial small subunit ribosomal RNA
Source: RNAcentral